Molecule: transfer RNA, 63 nt
Filed under: Granulosicoccus sp.
Lineage: Bacteria; Pseudomonadati; Pseudomonadota; Gammaproteobacteria; Chromatiales; Granulosicoccaceae
Description: tRNA-Ser
Source: RNAcentral
UGAUGUGCGGUAAAAGUCUGAAUUCUAAUCAGGUGGUCGCAGGUUCGAAUCCUGCACCAUUAA